UGUAAAUCCCUCCAUCUUUAAGCCUCAGC
This 29-nucleotide non-coding RNA is filed under the name Mus musculus (house mouse). The record is from RNAcentral. Lineage: Eukaryota; Metazoa; Chordata; Mammalia; Rodentia; Muridae.